GUAUUGAUGGUUGAGUGAUAAAAACUAUUUUAAGAUAAUAUAGGUCUCAAGUUCGAUUCUUGGUUCCUCCA
Molecule: transfer RNA, 71 nt
Filed under: Helianthus annuus (common sunflower)
Lineage: Eukaryota; Viridiplantae; Streptophyta; Magnoliopsida; Asterales; Asteraceae
Description: tRNA HanXRQr2_Chr09g0409751
Source: RNAcentral